This 468-nucleotide ribosomal RNA is filed under the name uncultured bacterium. RNAcentral describes it as "partial 16S ribosomal RNA". It matches the Rfam family "Bacterial small subunit ribosomal RNA", at positions 28 to 507 of the family's 1533-position model. The record is from RNAcentral.
GACGAACGCUGGCGGCGUGCUUAACACAUGCAAGUCGAACGGAAAGGCCCUGCUUUUGUGGGGUGCUCGAGUGGCGAACGGGUGAGUAACACGUGAGUAACCUGCCCUUGACUUUGGGAUAACUUCAGGAAACUGGGGCUAAUACCGGAUAGGAGCUCCUGCUGCAUGGUGGGGGUUGGAAAGUUUCGGCGGGUGGGGAUGGACUCGCGGCUUAUCAGCUUGUUGGGGGGGUAGUGGCUUACCAAGGCUGUGACGGGUAGCCGGCCUGGGAGGGUGACCGGCCACAUUGGGACUGAGAUACGGCCCAGACUCCUACGGGAGGCAGCAUUGGGGAUUAUUGCACAAUGGGCGGAAGCCGGAUGCAGCAACGCGGCGUGCGGGAUGACGGCCUUCGGGUGGUAAACCGCUUUCGCCUGUGACGAAGCGUGAGUGACGGUAAUGGGUGAAGAAGCACCGGCUAACUACGUG